This is a long non-coding RNA of Callithrix jacchus (white-tufted-ear marmoset), 1458 nucleotides long. NCBI's taxonomy places the organism in Eukaryota, Metazoa, Chordata, Mammalia, Primates, Cebidae. The record is from Ensembl.
AUGCUUCCAUGGUUUCUCAUGUUGAAAUUUUUAAGCUCUUCACCCAGAGGAUUUUUAAGUAUCAAGGUCUGUGAUAAUUCAGUGACCACCAGGGGGCAACAGGACUUUUGGGUGCCCUGGCCAAUCAAGUCCACACUGAACAAGGUUCUGAGUACAUGUGCAGAUCAUGCAGGAUUGUUGCAUCGAGUUAUGAGCAUCUACUGCCCUACAAUUCUUACAAUGGAUGCUUGGAAAUGAAAAGAAUUGUGGUCUUUACCUUUUAGAAUGUCACUUUGUACCUAGAAAAUUAGAAGUCCGGGGAAGACUCAAGAUGGCGCUGUGAGAACAACCCAGGAUUGGAUCUCGCGUUGAAUCCGCAAACGGUGAGUCAGAGCUGCAUUUCCAGACUGAUCUUUGUUGCCCACAGGACGGGGAAACUCCCAAGUAUAAAAAAGACAUGGGACGCCAGGCAGUAGGUCUGCCUGGCGAAGCUAGCAGCCAGGGCGGCGGCGGCCGGCCCUACCCAGCAAUCCCCACAGGGCACGCUUGUCCGGGUGCCCUGUUGAACCGGGAACCUGAGACUUCAGAGGGCUGGACUUGAGACUGAAUGAGACUUGGACAGUAGGCCAGCCCAGGGGAUUGCAGGAACAGAUCGUUUGGGAUACCCUGUGGGACGAACAAAACCGCGAUUUCAAACUAUCCCGAGCAGACGGUCCGAGACGCUCUGUGGGGGAGGGGCGUCCACCACUACCGAGGCAACCCGCCCCAACUGAGAUACACACCCACUGUGACGUGACGCAGCCAGCCGUUGCCUAGGCAACCCGUCCCUACUGAGAUACACGCCCACUGCUGAUGCAGCCUGCCGUUGCUGAGGCAACAUGCUACAACGAAGAGACUCCGCCGCAGGGCAUGGCGGAGACCACAGCAGAGCCUGCAGGAACAGGGUGAACCACACAACAGCAGGGCGGAUCCUCAGCAGCCAAACAGUGGCUAGUCUGCCUUCUAGCUGGGCAGGACACCUCAUCGGACAUCCAAAAAUAAAGCCCAAACCCUAAACACAGAGCAUUUGAGAAAAAAAAAAAAGGGUUUUUUAAUGAGCUCUGUUGCAGCAGAAUCAAACAUAGCAGCCUAACAGCCCUGAAUGAACAACAGAGUGCACAGCUCAGCAAUUAAGCCCCUAUAAAGUACAAACUGUCUCCUCAAGCAGCUCCCUGACCCCUCUAUAUCCAAAAGACUGACAUUAGGCAGGCAUCAUCCAGGGACAAAGAUAGCAGAAAAAGAAACUGGGAGCAUCCCUCCCUGUGCCACAGCUGCUAGAGGUGCACCCCAGACAAGCAGGGCCUGGAGUGGACCUCAGAAGUCGUACAGCGAAGGGGUAGACUGGUAGAAGGAAAACCAAGUAACAGAAAUACUUCAUCAUCAACAUUCUGGGUGUCCACUCGGAGACCCAAUCGAAAAGUCAGCAACUACGCAGACGAC